CGCACGGGUGAGUAACACGUAUGCAACCUGCCCUCUUCAGGGGGACAACCUUCCGAAAGGGAGGCUAAUCCCGCGUAUAUCGGUUUCGGGCAUCCGAGAUCGAGGAAAGAUUCAUCGGAAGAGGAUGGGCAUGCGGCGCAUUAGCUAGACGGCGGGGUAACGGCCCACCGUGGCGACGAUGCGUAGGGGUUCUGAGAGGAAGGUCCCCCACACUGGUACUGAGACACGGACCAGACUCCUACGGGAGGCAGCAG
RNAcentral lists this ribosomal RNA (254 nucleotides) under uncultured bacterium. RNAcentral's name for it is "partial 16S ribosomal RNA". It matches the Rfam family "Bacterial small subunit ribosomal RNA", at positions 99 to 354 of the family's 1533-position model. The record is from RNAcentral.